This is a long non-coding RNA of Oncorhynchus tshawytscha (Chinook salmon), 428 nucleotides long. RefSeq lists it as uncharacterized. Lineage: Eukaryota; Metazoa; Chordata; Actinopteri; Salmoniformes; Salmonidae. The record is from RefSeq and is a predicted model, not a curated record. The transcript has 3 exons.
UGCAAUUUUCCAAUAAUGGAUGGACCAGGAAACGAACAGGGUCAACAGCCAAGAGGAGGAAGAAGAGGAGCAAGGAUGCGUGGUGGAAGGCAAAACAGAGGAAGAGGCAGAAGAGGACAUAGGCGCAUAUCUGAUGACAUAAGGGUCACUAUUGUAGACCAUGUUGUCAAUCAUGGCCUUGCAAUGGCUGAGGCUGGUCGACAGGUGCAGCUGAAGAUUGGGAGAUCAACCGUGUCCUCAAUAGUUCAAACGUUUCGGAGAGAGAACAGGAUUGCAAGAUUACCUCAAACCGGUGGCAGAGGACGCCUUUUCACACCUCAACAGGAGGAGGCUAUUUGCACCAUGAGCUAAGGAGCUACGGUACCAGCAUGUACAGUGUAUAAUGGAGUUGGAAUCAAGUGAACCCUCUCACAACUUUGUAUAUGUGG